RNAcentral lists this long non-coding RNA (2447 nucleotides) under Sus scrofa (pig). RNAcentral's name for it is "lncRNA (ENSSSCG00040020935.1)". Lineage: Eukaryota; Metazoa; Chordata; Mammalia; Artiodactyla; Suidae. The record is from RNAcentral.
UUUUUUUUUUUUUACCAAUUUUUUUUAACCAACAUUUACCAGCAAUUUAUUUUUCAAACUUUUUUUCGCCUCAUUUGUCCCCUUCCUUCUGGGGCUGCAGUUGCUUCUGUGUUGUUACACUUGAUCUCGUCCUGGCUCUCAGAGGCUCUGUUCAUUUUUCUGUCUCUCUUUACUUGCCAUUUUCUCAGCAUGUCACACAGCGAGAUCAUAAGCACAUUGUUCGUCUCUUCCAAAUCCUGGGCCUCACUUUGCCCAUCUGUGAAGCAGGCUGAUAAUCCCCACAUUCUCAGGUGUUGUGUGGAUGGAAUAGGAACGAGAUAGGUGGAAAGCCCGUUCCAGGAACUGGGCUACUGGGUGCUCCACCCCAUGGGUGUUCUAGCCAUAGUGUUGGCAGAACCAUGGCAAAGCAACAGCUGUGCCUUCUGGAUCUUUCAUCACAUUGCAAAACCAGGAUUCUGAUGAGCUCGCAGACACUUCCUAGUACCUGUAGAUUUGAUUGACUCUGAUUAUGCUUCUCCUAUAAUUUCCUGCUUUUCAGUCAAACUGAACCCAUUCUUGUUUCUCAUACAGUCCCACCUUCUGCCUUUAUGCAUACAUCUAACUGCCACUAGCUGUUGAACUCCUACUCAACCUUCAAGACCCACUCAAAUGCCACCCGUCCACAAAGCUUUUCCUGAUCCCCCAGAAGGUGGUGCUCCUUUUAAUUCAUUGCCUUAAUUAGGGGGGUGAGGCAGGUUUCAUCCCCUUUCUGAGCCUGGAAGCUUCUAGGGUAGGGACCAUAUCUAUUUUGUUUCUGUGUCCUGGGACCUGUGCCUGACUCAGUGGCCUGUGUGUGUGUGUGGGGGAAAUGCAAGGGACUUUUCCAGAAAGUGAGACUGAGACCAUGGAGUGUACGAGUGGAUCCUGAGGCAGAAGCCCAGCAGCCCAGUGUCCAAACUGACCUCUGCCUCCAUCACAGCUUGCCUGGCCUGGUUCUGCCUGAGCAUCCUGCCAGCUGAGCUGCUCAGCAGUGAAUGCCCUUUCAUUCCCAUCAGCUUCCCUCAGCUCCCCAGAGAAAUCAGCUGUGCCCUGGGGAAGCCCUCGUGGAGGUAAGAUUAGGUGUAAUUUUGUUAACAAGAAUGUUCACCAAAUGUCAAAACUUGGCUUUCUCUGUCUCAACAAAGCCUUCCUGACAGAGCCAUGUCCCCAGGGAGAUGCAGCAAGCAGGUCCCUGUGGCAUGUGAACAGCUGAAAGCCAGCUGCCAGAAGGAUUGCAGCCAAGCGCUGCCAGCAGCAGACUGUCUCAUUUGUGGAAUCCGACGUGCAGUGUUACUGGGAAACACCUUUGCCCAGGUGUGUUGGCCCCACCCUCUAGGAAGAGGGUAGUGGAACUGAGAGCUGAUUUUGAAGAGAGUUGAGAGCUGGGAGCCAGCUUGUGGGGUGAAGGAGAAGAAAGCCCUGCCGGUCAGAGGGCUCGGAUUCCAGGCCCUCAGAUUCCCUUCCUUCCAGCCCGGAGUGAUAUCGGGGUUCCAUGGCUGGGGAUAUGCCCACUGGAUUUCAGGUUGUCAUCAUGGAGUGUUUAUGGAGCAUCUACUGUAUGCCCAGCACACUGGCUCAGGGAUUAGAGAACCUGGAUCUGCUGUUUGUAGGAUGACAACCACUCUUGCCUGUUGGGACCUCGCUUCCUCAGCUGUAAAGUGGGGACAAUGAUGGGGACAGUGAUGAUGAAAGCAUCUAUUUAAGAAGCACUUUCUUUUUUAUUUUUUAAAAUUUUAUUGAAGUAUAGUUGAUUUAUAAGGUUGGGAUAAUUUCUGCUGUACAACGAAGUGAUUCAGUUAUACAUAUACCCAUAUACAUUCUUUUUCAUAUUCUUUUCCCAUAUAGAUCAUCACAGAAUCUUGGGUAGAAUUCCCUGUGCUCUACAGCAGGUCCCUGUUGGCUGGUCAUCCCCUAUACUUCAGUGUGCAGAUGCCAAUCCCAACCCCCUAGUCUAUCCCUCCCUACUACCUGGUCCCUUGGUAACCAUAAGUUUAUUUUCAAAGUCUGUGAGUCUGUUUUGUUCUGCAAAUAAGUUCAUUUGUACCCUUUAUAAAAGAUUCCACAUAUAAACAAUAUUAUAUGAUGUUUGUCUGUCACUAACUUCACUUAGUUUGAUAACUCUAGGUCCAUCCAUGUGGCUGCAAAUGGCAUUAUUUCAUUCCUUUUUUAUGACCGAGUAAUAUUCCAUUGCCUAUGUGUACCACCUCUUCUUUAUCCAUUCCUGUCAGUGGAUAUUCAUCCAUUCUUNCCUACACCACAGCUCACGGCAACGCCGGAUCGUUAACCCACUGAGCAAGGGCAGGGACCGAACCCGCAACCUCAUGGUUCCUAGUCGGAUUCGUUAACCACUGCGCCACAACGGGAACUCCCAUCCAUUCUUGUUAAUAAGAAUGGAUAUUCAUUCAUUGACAGGAGUGGAUAAGGAGAAC